UUAAAAAAAUUCGAAGACUUCAACUUUCAUACUUGAAGAAUUUGAAGGCUUCAACUUGCAUAUUUAAAGAAUUUAAAUACUUCAACC
RNAcentral lists this microRNA precursor (87 nucleotides) under Solanum lycopersicum (tomato). Its description in RNAcentral is "MIR8024 microRNA precursor family". It matches the Rfam family "MIR8024 microRNA precursor family". The record is from Rfam by way of RNAcentral. Lineage: Eukaryota; Viridiplantae; Streptophyta; Magnoliopsida; Solanales; Solanaceae.